Molecule: long non-coding RNA, 614 nt
Filed under: Homo sapiens (human)
Lineage: Eukaryota; Metazoa; Chordata; Mammalia; Primates; Hominidae
Description: long non-coding RNA NONHSAT066656.2
Source: RNAcentral
CCCAGAGGAAGCUGUAUCGAGAUGUCAUGCUGGAGAACUUCAGAAACCUGCUAUCAGUGGGGCAUCAACUUUCCCACCGAGAUACUUUUCACUUCCAAAGAGAAGAAAAGUUUUGGAUCAUGGAGACAGCAACCCAAAGAGAAGGGAAUUCAGGAGGCAAGAUCCAAACUGAGUUGGAGUCUGUUCCAGAAACAGGACCACAUGAAGAGUGGUCUUGCCAGCAAAUCUGGGAACAAACUGCAAGUGAGUUAACUAGACCUCAAGACUCCAUAAGUAGCUCUCAGUUCUCCACACAAGGUGAUGUCCCCUCCCAGGUUGACGCAGGACUAUCUAUAAUUCACAUAGGAGAGACACCUUCUGAGCAUGGGAAGUGUAAAAAAUUCUUCAGUGAUGUCUCCAUCCUUGAUCUUCAUCAACAAUUACACUCAGGAAAGAUAUCCCAUACAUGUAAUGAGUACAGGAAGAGAUUCUGUUAUAGCUCAGCUCUUUGUCUUCAUCAGAAAGUUCACAUGGGAGAGAAACGCUAUAAGUGUGAUGUGUGUAGUAAGGCAUUUAGUCAGAACUCACAACUGCAAACUCAUCAGAGAAUCCACACUGGAGAGAAACCAUUCAAA